GACUGAUCUGAAUGCAGUAGUCUCUACAACUAAUUGAUUGCACCAGUUACAGAUUUUUUAUUCUUUCUCCACUCCCACUGCUUCACAUUACUAGCCUGAA
RNAcentral lists this non-coding RNA (100 nucleotides) under Microcebus murinus (gray mouse lemur). Lineage: Eukaryota; Metazoa; Chordata; Mammalia; Primates; Cheirogaleidae. The record is from RNAcentral.